GCCUACGGGGCGCAGCAGUAGGGAAUUUUCGUCAAUGGGCGCAAGCCUGAACGAGCAAUGCCGCGUGAACGAGGAAGGUCUUCGGACCGUAAAGUUCUGUUGAAGGGGAAAAAGAGCGGAGAGAGGAAAUGGUCUCCGAUUGAUAUUACCCUUCGAGGAAGUCACGGCUAACUACGUGCCGGCAGCCGCGGUAAUACGUAGGUGGCGAGCGUUAUCCGGAAUGAUUGGGCGUAAAGGGUGCGUAGGCGGCCAGCUAAGUCUGGAGUGAAAGGUACCGGCUCAACCGGUACAGGCUCUGGAAACUG
RNAcentral lists this ribosomal RNA (305 nucleotides) under uncultured bacterium. Its description in RNAcentral is "bacterial SSU rRNA". It matches the Rfam family "Bacterial small subunit ribosomal RNA", at positions 337 to 635 of the family's 1533-position model. The record is from RNAcentral.